This 245-nucleotide ribosomal RNA is filed under the name uncultured Oscillospiraceae bacterium. Its description in RNAcentral is "partial 16S ribosomal RNA". It matches the Rfam family "Bacterial small subunit ribosomal RNA", at positions 524 to 768 of the family's 1533-position model. The record is from RNAcentral. Lineage: Bacteria; Bacillati; Bacillota; Clostridia; Eubacteriales; Oscillospiraceae.
UACGUAGGUGGCGAGCGUUGUCCGGAAUUACUGGGUGUAAAGGGCGCGUAGGCGGGGGAGCAAGUCAGAUGUGAAAUACCGAAGCUCAACUUCGGGGCUGCAUUUGAAACUGUUCAUCUUGAGUGCAGGAGAGGAAAGCGGAAUUCCUAGUGUAGCGGUGAAAUGCGUAGAUAUUAGGAGGAACACCAGUGGCGAAGGCGGCUUUCUGGACUGUAACUGACGCUGAGGCGCGAAAGCGUGGGUAG